RNAcentral lists this ribosomal RNA (471 nucleotides) under uncultured microorganism. Its description in RNAcentral is "bacterial SSU rRNA". It matches the Rfam family "Bacterial small subunit ribosomal RNA", at positions 9 to 477 of the family's 1533-position model. The record is from RNAcentral.
GAGUUUGAUCUUGGCUCAGAUUGAACGCUGGCGGCAUGCCUUACACAUGCAAGUCGAACGGUAACAGGUCUUCGGAUGCUGACGAGUGGCGAACGGGUGAGUAAUACAUCGGAACGUGCCCAGACGUGGGGGGAUAACGAGGCGAAAGCUUUGCUAAUACCGCAUACGAUCUAAGGAUGAAAGCAGGGACCGCAAGGCCUUGCGCGUUUGGAGCGGCCGAUGGCAGAUUAGGUAGUUGGUGGGAUAAAAGCUUACCAAGCCGACGAUCUGUAGCUGGUCUGAGAGGACGACCAGCCACACUGGGACUGAGACACGGCCCAGACUCCUACGGGAGGCAGCAGUGGGGAAUUUUGGACAAUGGGCGAAAGCCUGAUCCAGCAAUGCCGCGUGCAGGAUGAAGGCCUUCGGUUGUAACUGCUUUGUACGGUAACGAAAGGACGUCUGGUUAAUACCGUGGGCGACAUGACGGUA